UGACCCUACGGGAGGCAGCAGUAGGGAAUCUUCCACAAUGGACGAAAGUCUGAUGGAGCAACGCCGCGUGAGUGAAGAAGGGUUUCGGCUCGUAAAGCUCUGUUGGUAGUGAAGAAAGAUAGAGGUAAUAACUGGCCUUUAUUUGACGGUAAUUACUUAGAAAGUCACGGCUAACUACGUGCCAGCAGCCGCGGUAAUACGUAAGUGGCAAGCGUUUUCCGGGUUUUUUGGGGGUAAAGCGAGUGCAGGCGGUUCAAUAAGUCUGAUUUGUAA
RNAcentral lists this ribosomal RNA (273 nucleotides) under uncultured bacterium. RNAcentral describes it as "partial 16S ribosomal RNA". It matches the Rfam family "Bacterial small subunit ribosomal RNA", at positions 333 to 599 of the family's 1533-position model. The record is from RNAcentral.